This 253-nucleotide ribosomal RNA is filed under the name uncultured bacterium. RNAcentral's name for it is "partial 16S ribosomal RNA". It matches the Rfam family "Bacterial small subunit ribosomal RNA", at positions 524 to 776 of the family's 1533-position model. The record is from RNAcentral.
UACGGAGGGUGCAAGCGUUAUCCGGAUUCACUGGGCGUAAAGGGCGGGUAGGUGGUUGUGUAAGUUGGUUAUGAAAGCUCCUGGCUAAACUGGGAGAGGUUGACCAAGACUGCAGAACUUGAGUGGAGAAGAGGUAAACGGAAUUCCGCGUGUAGUGGUGAAAUGCGUAGAGAUGCGGAAGAACACCAGUGGCGAAGGCGGUUUACUGGUCUCCAACUGACACUGAGCCGCGAAAGCAUGGGUAGCGAACGGG